AGGAUUCCCCUAGUAACGGCGAGUGAAGCGGGAAAAGCUCAAAUUUGAAAGCUUGCAGCAAUGCACGCGUUGUAAUCUCGAGAAGUGUUUUCCGUGCUGGACCAUGGACAAGUUCCUUGGAAUAGGAUGUCAUAGAGGGUGAGAACCCCGUCUUUGCCAUGGACGCCCAGUGCUUUGUGAUACACUUUCAAAGAGUCGAGUUGUUUGGGAAUGCAGCUCAAAAUGGGUGGUAAAUUCCAUCUAAAGCUAAAUAUUGGGGAGAGACCGAUAGCAAACAAGUACCGUGAGGGAAAGAUGAAAAGCACUUUGGAAAGAGAGUUAAACAGUACGUGAAAUUGUCAAAAGGGAAGCGCUUCAAGUCAGACGUGUGGCGCGGUAUUCAGCCUUACGGUGUAUUUACCGCGUUACUGGCCAGCAUCGAUUUUGGGCGACGGAUAAGGGUGUGAGGAACGUGGCACCUCCGGGUGUGUUAUAGCCUUACACUGGAUACGUCGCCCGGGAUCGAGGAACGCAGCACACCCAUUCGGGCAGGUCUUCGGACACUUUUGUGCUUAGGAUGCUGGCGUAAUGGCUUGAAGCGGCCCGUCUUGAAACACGGACCAAGGAGUCUAACAUGUCUGCGAGUCUUUGGGUGGCAAACCCAUCGGCACAAUGAAAGUAAACGUAGGUGGGAUCCCGCAAGGGUGCACCAUCGACCGAUCUGUAUUCAUAACGGAUUUGAGUAAGAGCAUAUAUGUUGGGACCCGAGAGAUGGUGAACUAUGCCUGGACAAGGUGAAGCCAGGGGAAACCCUGGUGGAGGCCUGAAGACGUUCUGACGUGCAAAAUCGAUGUUCAGAUCUGGGUAUAGGGGCGAAAGACUAAUCGAACCAUC
Molecule: ribosomal RNA, 873 nt
Filed under: Kordyana sp.
Lineage: Eukaryota; Fungi; Basidiomycota; Exobasidiomycetes; Exobasidiales; Brachybasidiaceae
Description: partial large subunit ribosomal RNA
Rfam family: Eukaryotic large subunit ribosomal RNA
Source: RNAcentral